RNAcentral lists this ribosomal RNA (274 nucleotides) under uncultured bacterium. RNAcentral describes it as "partial 16S ribosomal RNA". It matches the Rfam family "Bacterial small subunit ribosomal RNA", at positions 28 to 323 of the family's 1533-position model. The record is from RNAcentral.
GAUAAACGCUGGCGGCGUGCCUAACACAUGCAAGUCGAACGCCCUGGAGCAAUUCAGGGAGUGGCGGACGGGUGAGGAACACGUGGGUGAUCUACCUUGAGGUGAGGAAUACCGGCGAGAAAUCGCCGACAAUACCGCAUACGUUCGUAAGAACAAAGUCGCAAGACGCCUGAAGAUGAGCCUGCGUCCGAUUAGCCAGUUGGUGGGGUAAUGGCCUACCAAAGCAGCGAUCGGUAGCUGGUCUGAGAGGACGAUCAGCCACACUGGGAUUGAG